RNAcentral lists this ribosomal RNA (760 nucleotides) under Companilactobacillus paralimentarius. RNAcentral describes it as "bacterial SSU rRNA". It matches the Rfam family "Bacterial small subunit ribosomal RNA", at positions 64 to 800 of the family's 1533-position model. Lineage: Bacteria; Bacillati; Bacillota; Bacilli; Lactobacillales; Lactobacillaceae. The record is from RNAcentral.
UCCUGAUGAUUGAAGCUUGCUUCAUGAUUCAGACCUUGGUGAGUGGCGGACGGGUGAGUAACACGUGGGUAACCUGCCCAGAAGUGGGGGAUAACAUUUGGAAACAAGUGCUAAUACCGCAUAACAACUUAGAUCACAUGAUCUUUGUUUAAAAGAUGGUUUUGCUAUCUCUUCUGGAUGGACCCGCGGCGUAUUAGCUAGUUGGUGAGGUAAUAGCUCACCAAGGCGAUGAUACGUAGCCGACCUGAGAGGGUAAUCGGCCACAUUGGGACUGAGACACGGCCCAAACUCCUACGGGAGGCAGCAGUAGGGAAUCUUCCACAAUGGACGAAAGUCUGAUGGAGCAAUGCCGCGUGAGUGAAGAAGGUUUUCGGAUCGUAAAACUCUGUUGUUGAAGAAGAACAUAUGUGAGAGUAACUGUUCACGUACUGACGGUAUUCAACCAGAAAGCCACGGCUAACUACGUGCCAGCAGCCGCGGUAAUACGUAGGUGGCAAGCGUUGUCCGGAUUUAUUGGGCGUAAAGAGAAUGUAGGCGGUUUAUUAAGUUUGAAGUGAAAGCCCUCGGCUCAACCGAGGAAGUGCUUCGAAAACUGGUAAACUUGAGUGCAGAAGAGGAAAGUGGAACUCCAUGUGUAGCGGUGGAAUGCGUAGAUAUAUGGAAGAACACCAGUGGCGAAGGCGGCUUUCUGGUCUGUAACUGACGCUGAGAUUCGAAAGCAUGGGUAGCAAACAGGAUUAGAUACCCUGGUAGUCCAUGC